Molecule: ribosomal RNA, 253 nt
Filed under: uncultured bacterium
Lineage: Bacteria
Description: partial 16S ribosomal RNA
Rfam family: Bacterial small subunit ribosomal RNA
Source: RNAcentral
UACGUAGGGUGCAGGCGUUAAUCGGAAUUACCGGGCGUAAAGCGUGCGCAGGCGGUUUGCUAAGACAGGUGUGAAAUCCCCGGGCUUAACCUGGGAACUGCGCUUGUAACUGGCAAGCUGGAGUGUGGCAGAGGGGGGUGGAAUUCCACGUGUAGCAGUGAAAUGCGUAGAGAUGUGGAGGAACACCGAUGGCGAAGGCAGCCCCCUGGGCUAACACUGACGCUCAUGCACGAAAGCGUGGGGAGCAAACAGG